UAUAUUUAAUAUUCCUGUAGAACUGUAAGAGAGAAUAUAUUUAACACAUCAUUUAAUAUUCCUGUAGAACUGUAAGAGAGAAUAUAUUUAAUAUUCCUGUAGAACUGUAAGAGAGAAUAUAUUUAACACAUCAUUUAAUAUUCCUGUAGAACUGUAAGAGAGAAUAUAGUCAACGGCUGCUGUCAAAAGGUGAUGGACGAGUUAUUCCUGUGUCCUGUGUUCAUGCCCUUUUAAGGACAUCCUGUCCGGAUAUCCUCAUGCUAUUUAGGGUAGGUUUAUGCCCUUUUAAGGACAUCCUGUCCGGAUAUCCUCAUGUUAUUUAGGGUAGGUUUAUGCCCUUUUAAGGACCUCCUGUCCAGAUAUCCUCAUGCUAUUUAGGGUGUGCUUAUGUAACUUGAUAGUGCAGCUGUUUCUUCAAAGUAAAGCAAAUGUUUGUAACAAAAAGUAAUGAUGAUUGAUGUGUGGGGAUCUUGUUGAACUGAAAGAAAAUGUGUUUGAACUGAUGGAGCUGCUGUGUAGUGACCUUGUGA
Oncorhynchus tshawytscha (Chinook salmon) is the source of this 530-nucleotide long non-coding RNA. NCBI's taxonomy places the organism in Eukaryota, Metazoa, Chordata, Actinopteri, Salmoniformes, Salmonidae. The record is from Ensembl.